AGCAGCCGCGGUAAUUCCAGCUCCAAUAGCGUAUAUUAAAGUUGCUGCAGUUAAAAAGCUCGUAGUUGAAUUUCGGGACCAAUAUGUCGGUCGUGCUUYKGUACGUACUGAUAUWAUUGGUUUCUCCCUUCUGAAGAACCUUGAUGUCAUUAAUUUGGUGUCUUGGGGAAUCAGGACUGUUACUUUGAAAAAAUUAGAGUGUUUAAAGCAGGCUCGCGCUUGAAUACAUUAGCAUGGAAUAAUGAAAUAGGACGUUUGAUUCUAUUUUGUUGGUUUCUAGGAUCGACGUAAUGAUUAAUAGGGAUAGUUGGGGGCAUUAGUAUUCAAUUGUCAGAGGUGAAAUUCUUGGAUUUAUUGAAGACUAACUACUGCGAAAGCAUUUGCCAAGGAUGUUUUCAUUAAUCAAGAACGAAAGUUAGGGGAUCGAAGACGAUCAGAUACCGUCGUAGUCUUAACCAUAAACUAUGCCGACUAGGGAUCGGAUGA
Molecule: ribosomal RNA, 486 nt
Filed under: uncultured Glomus
Lineage: Eukaryota; Fungi; Glomeromycota; Glomeromycetes; Glomerales; Glomeraceae
Description: SSU rRNA
Rfam family: Eukaryotic small subunit ribosomal RNA
Source: RNAcentral